RNAcentral lists this microRNA precursor (60 nucleotides) under Ptychodera flava. RNAcentral's name for it is "Pfl-Mir-242_pre stem-loop". The record is from RNAcentral. Lineage: Eukaryota; Metazoa; Hemichordata; Enteropneusta; Ptychoderidae.
UGCGUAGGCGUUGUGCACAGUGAUGUGUGGCCCGGUUCCUGUGCAUCUCUCCCACGCAUA